RNAcentral lists this ribosomal RNA (468 nucleotides) under uncultured bacterium. RNAcentral's name for it is "partial 16S ribosomal RNA". It matches the Rfam family "Bacterial small subunit ribosomal RNA", at positions 28 to 507 of the family's 1533-position model. The record is from RNAcentral.
GACGAACGCUGGCGGCGUGCUUAACACAUGCAAGUCGAACGGAAAGGCCCUGCUUUUGUGGGGUGCUCGAGUGGCGAACGGGUGAGUAACACGUGAGUAACCUGCCCUUGACUUUGGGAUAACUUCAGGAAACUGGGGCUAAUACCGGAUAGGAGCUCCUGCUGCAUGGUGGGGGUUGGAAAGUUUCGGCGGUUGGGGAUGGACUCGCGGCUUAUCAGCUUGUUGGUGGGGUAGUGGCUUACCAAGGCUUUGACGGGUAGCCGGCCUGAGAGGGUGACCGGCCACAUUGGGACUGGGAUACGGCCCAGACUCCUACGGGAGGCAGCAGUGGGGAAUAUUGCACAAUGGGCGGAAGCCUGAUGCAGCAACGCCGCGUGCGGGAUGACGGCCUUCGGGUUGUAAACCGCUUUCGCCUGUGACGAAGCGCGAGUGACGGUAAUGGGUAAAGAAGCACCGGCUAACUACGUG